AAAUUGAAGAGUUUGAUCAUGUCUCAGAUUGAACGCUGGCGGCAGGCCUAACACAUGCAAGUCGAAUGGUAACAGGAAGAAGCUUGCUGCUUUGCUGACGAGUGGCGGAUGGGGGAGUAAUGGCUGGGAAAUUGGCUGAUUGACGGGGUGAACUA
This 155-nucleotide ribosomal RNA is filed under the name Escherichia coli. Its description in RNAcentral is "partial 16S ribosomal RNA". It matches the Rfam family "Bacterial small subunit ribosomal RNA", at positions 1 to 149 of the family's 1533-position model. Lineage: Bacteria; Pseudomonadati; Pseudomonadota; Gammaproteobacteria; Enterobacterales; Enterobacteriaceae. The record is from RNAcentral.